UUUUAUAGAUCACAGGUUAUUUCAAAAUCACAGAUCAUUCAAAUUACAUGUUGCAUUUUAUCUAUGCAUCACAUAUGUCACAAAUUAUUUUUUAGUCUCAAAUACCUAAUUUUUUGUCACAAAUCAGCGAAAUAGUUGGUCACAGAUGCCAAGAUAGUUGGUCACAUAUUUCAAACACCCCCACCAUCGGUCCCGAUCCAGUAACAAUCUUGGUAACAAAUUACCAUCACCCAAUCGUCGCUUGCAACACACCACCGCAUCAUCAGACCCUAUCCUGAUCCCGAUCCCGAUCCCAAUCCCAAUCCCAAUCCCAAUCCCAUCCCACCAUAGUACUUGUUCACAAAUACCAACAGAAUAGAAAAAAAAAAAAGCAAUGAUUUUAUUUUCCACCAACAACCAACUAAAAAUACAAACACAAAAUGUUUGCUAAGCAUUCAUUUUUGCCGCCCAACAGAGAACAAGUUACCGUGAAACACCAAUUGAGAGAGCAUAGCAAAGGUCGAGGCCAGAUCGACGAUCGACAGCUCCUACUCACGAUUGGCGUUGAUAUUGAAGAGUCUGGAAGAUAGAGGCAACACCACUUGCAUCGAAGAUUCUCUUUCAGGGGUAGCGUCGCUAUUGUUGGGAGAGGAGAGAUUAAGGAGAAGAGAAGAGUGGUGCUGGGUGUCGCCAUUGCCUCCCAGUCAACUCUGUGUGCUUAGUGCCUCCGAUUCCAUUGUGAUUGUGCGUGCUCAGAGAGAGAGAGAGAGGAAUGAGACACGGAUGGGGGAAAAUUUUACUCCGUGUGCAUUCCCAAUUCCAUUGUGAUUGUGCGUGUUUAGAGAGAGCGGAAUGAGAUAGGGAUGGGGGAAAUUUUUAGGUUUUGUAGUAGGAUAAGUGGGUAAAUUUAACUAAUACUUGGUUUUUGGUUAAAAAUAGUUCACACCUGAAUUUUGAAUUAGAAC
Molecule: long non-coding RNA, 944 nt
Filed under: Olea europaea subsp. europaea
Lineage: Eukaryota; Viridiplantae; Streptophyta; Magnoliopsida; Lamiales; Oleaceae
Source: RNAcentral